Molecule: ribosomal RNA, 2923 nt
Filed under: Klebsiella pneumoniae
Lineage: Bacteria; Pseudomonadati; Pseudomonadota; Gammaproteobacteria; Enterobacterales; Enterobacteriaceae
Description: 23S ribosomal RNA
Rfam family: Bacterial large subunit ribosomal RNA
Source: RNAcentral
GGGUUGUGAGGUUAAGCGACUAAGCGUACACGGUGGAUGCCCUGGCAGUCAGAGGCGAUGAAGGACGUGCUAAUCUGCGAAAAGCGUCGGUAAGGUGAUAUGAACCGUUAUAACCGGCGAUGUCCGAAUGGGGAAACCCAGUGUGAUUCGUCACACUAUCGUUAACUGAAUACAUAGGUUAACGAGGCGAACCGGGGGAACUGAAACAUCUAAGUACCCCGAGGAAAAGAAAUCAACCGAGAUUCCCCCAGUAGCGGCGAGCGAACGGGGAGCAGCCCAGAGUCUGAAUCAGCUUGUGUGUUAGUGGAACGGUCUGGAAAGUCCGACGGUACAGGGUGAUAGUCCCGUACACCAAAAUGCACAGGUUGUGAACUCGAAGAGUAGGGCGGGACACGUGGUAUCCUGUCUGAAUAUGGGGGGACCAUCCUCCAAGGCUAAAUACUCCUGACUGACCGAUAGUGAACCAGUACCGUGAGGGAAAGGCGAAAAGAACCCCGGCGAGGGGAGUGAAAAAGAACCUGAAACCGUGUACGUACAAGCAGUGGGAGCACCUUCGGGUGUGACUGCGUACCUUUUGUAUAAUGGGUCAGCGACUUAUAUUCUGUAGCAAGGUUAACCGUAUAGGGGAGCCGCAGGGAAACCGAGUCUUAACUGGGCGUUAAGUUGCAGGGUAUAGACCCGAAACCCGGUGAUCUAGCCAUGGGCAGGUUGAAGGUUGGGUAACACUAACUGGAGGACCGAACCGACUAAUGUUGAAAAAUUAGCGGAUGACUUGUGGCUGGGGGUGAAAGGCCAAUCAAACCGGGAGAUAGCUGGUUCUCCCCGAAAGCUAUUUAGGUAGCGCCUCGUGAACUCAUCUUCGGGGGUAGAGCACUGUUUCGGCUAGGGGGUCAUCCCGACUUACCAACCCGAUGCAAACUACGAAUACCGAAGAAUGUUAUCACGGGAGACACACGGCGGGUGCUAACGUCCGUCGUGAAGAGGGAAACAACCCAGACCGCCAGCUAAGGUCCCAAAGUCAUGGUUAAGUGGGAAACGAUGUGGGAAGGCACAGACAGCCAGGAUGUUGGCUUAGAAGCAGCCAUCAUUUAAAGAAAGCGUAAUAGCUCACUGGUCGAGUCGGCCUGCGCGGAAGAUGUAACGGGGCUAAACCAUGCACCGAAGCUGCGGCAGCGACACUAUGUGUUGUUGGGUAGGGGAGCGUUCUGUAAGCCUGCGAAGGUGACCUGUGAGGGUUGCUGGAGGUAUCAGAAGUGCGAAUGCUGACAUAAGUAACGAUAAAGCGGGUGAAAAGCCCGCUCGCCGGAAGACCAAGGGUUCCUGUCCAACGUUAAUCGGGGCAGGGUGAGUCGACCCCUAAGGCGAGGCCGAAAGGCGUAGUCGAUGGGAAACAGGUUAAUAUUCCUGUACUUGGUGUUACUGCGAAGGGGGGACGGAGAAGGCUAUGUUAGCCGGGCGACGGUUGUCCCGGUUUAAGCAUGUAGGCUGAUUGUCCAGGCAAAUCCGGAUAAUCAAGGCUGAGGUGUGAUGACGAGGCACUACGGUGCUGAAGUAACAAAUGCCCUGCUUCCAGGAAAAGCCUCUAAGCAUCAGGUAACAUCAAAUCGUACCCCAAACCGACACAGGUGGUCAGGUAGAGAAUACCAAGGCGCUUGAGAGAACUCGGGUGAAGGAACUAGGCAAAAUGGUGCCGUAACUUCGGGAGAAGGCACGCUGGUGUGUAGGUGAAGCCCCUGCGGGUGGAGCUGAGACCAGUCGAAGAUACCAGCUGGCUGCAACUGUUUAUUAAAAACACAGCACUGUGCAAACACGAAAGUGGACGUAUACGGUGUGACGCCUGCCCGGUGCCGGAAGGUUAAUUGAUGGGGUUAUCCGUAAGGAGAAGCUCUUGAUCGAAGCCCCGGUAAACGGCGGCCGUAACUAUAACGGUCCUAAGGUAGCGAAAUUCCUUGUCGGGUAAGUUCCGACCUGCACGAAUGGCGUAAUGAUGGCCAGGCUGUCUCCACCCGAGACUCAGUGAAAUUGAACUCGCUGUGAAGAUGCAGUGUACCCGCGGCAAGACGGAAAGACCCCGUGAACCUUUACUAUAGCUUGACACUGAACAUUGAGCCUUGAUGUGUAGGAUAGGUGGGAGGCUUUGAAGCGUGGACGCCAGUCUGCGUGGAGCCAACCUUGAAAUACCACCCUUUAAUGUUUGAUGUUCUAACGUUGGCCCCUUACCGGGGUUGCGGACAGUGUCUGGUGGGUAGUUUGACUGGGGCGGUCUCCUCCCAAAGCGUAACGGAGGAGCACGAAGGUUAGCUAAUCCUGGUCGGACAUCAGGAGGUUAGUGCAAUGGCAUAAGCUAGCUUGACUGCGAGCGUGACGGCGCGAGCAGGUGCGAAAGCAGGUCAUAGUGAUCCGGUGGUUCUGAAUGGAAGGGCCAUCGCUCAACGGAUAAAAGGUACUCCGGGGAUAACAGGCUGAUACCGCCCAAGAGUUCAUAUCGACGGCGGUGUUUGGCACCUCGAUGUCGGCUCAUCACAUCCUGGGGCUGAAGUAGGUCCCAAGGGUAUGGCUGUUCGCCAUUUAAAGUGGUACGCGAGCUGGGUUUAGAACGUCGUGAGACAGUUCGGUCCCUAUCUGCCGUGGGCGCUGGAGAAUUGAGGGGGGCUGCUCCUAGUACGAGAGGACCGGAGUGGACGCAUCACUGGUGUUCGGGUUGUCAUGCCAAUGGCACUGCCCGGUAGCUAAAUGCGGAAGAGAUAAGUGCUGAAAGCAUCUAAGCACGAAACUUGCCCCGAGAUGAGUUCUCCCUGAGACUUUAAGUCUCCUGAAGGAACGUUGAAGACGACGACGUUGAUAGGCCGGGUGUGUAAGCGCAGCGAUGCGUUGAGCUAACCGGUACUAAUGAACCGUGAGGCUUAACCUUACAACGCCGAAG